This 495-nucleotide ribosomal RNA is filed under the name uncultured bacterium. RNAcentral describes it as "partial 16S ribosomal RNA". It matches the Rfam family "Bacterial small subunit ribosomal RNA", at positions 28 to 507 of the family's 1533-position model. The record is from RNAcentral.
GACGAACGCUGGCGGCGUGCCUAAUACAUGCAAGUAGAACGCUGAAGGAGGAGCUUGCUCUUCUGGAUGAGUUGCGAACGGGUGAGUAACGCGUAGGUAACCUGCCUGGUAGCGGGGGAUAACUAUUGGAAACGAUAGCUAAUACCGCAUAACAGUAGAUGUUGCAUGACAUUUACUUAAAAGGUGCACUUGCAUCACUACCAGAUGGACCUGCGUUGUAUUAGGUAGUUGGUGGGGUAACGGCACACCAAGGCGACGAUACAUAGCCGAGCUGAGAGGGGGAUCGGCCACACUGGGACGGAGAAAAGGGUCAGAAGUCUAAGGGAGGGAGCAGGAGGGAAACAUUGGCAAUGGGGGGAAGGCUGGCCGAGGAACGCCGGGGUAGGUGAGAAGGGUUUCGGAUCGGAAAGGUCGGUUGGAAGAGAAGAAAGAGUGUGAGAGUGGAAAGUUCACGUUGUGACGGUAUCUAAACAGAAAGAGACGGCUAACUACGUG